Molecule: long non-coding RNA, 1185 nt
Organism: Marmota monax (woodchuck)
Lineage: Eukaryota; Metazoa; Chordata; Mammalia; Rodentia; Sciuridae
Exons: 3
Source: RefSeq, a predicted model, not a curated record
GAAAUCAUCAGUUCAGGACAAGAUCAUGUUUUCCAGAAUAUCAUCUUCCAAUGCCUUCUUUAAUUGUAUGUAUCUCCUGGGGACCACAAAUAUGAGUGACAGGAUAAUAGGAGGACAUACCACAGCUAUGUGGGUUACCAUCUAGACAAGAAGCAGAAAGGAUCGGAAAGAACUCAAAAGAUGCAUAUUUAACAGACCAAUUGCCUUUUUAUUUUGAGUCUUUGUAGUUGAAUUCCGAGAAACUUUAUUAUUUUUUUUCUGAGAAAGAAAAGUUCUGAAAAAUCUUGCAAUGUUUGAUGAACACAAAAGGAUUGAGUUAAGAAGACAGUGCUUACCUUUAAAUUAGUGAAGGAAUAUAGGUAAUACAUUAAUGAAGGAGUAUACCAGUCUUCUUCAAGACUUCUUGGGCAUAUUGUAAUCCAUAAAUUAAUAUUCAUUGAUUAAACAUUAUAGGGUAUGCCUGUGACAAAUUUAGGGCAUUAUUUAUUAAUUUAGUUGAACAAUUAUUAUGUGUCUACUAUGUGCACUGUUGCCUUAACUGAACAAGUAAUAAUCCUAAAUUCAAGGGGUUUAAGAUAGAAUCACAGUCUCUCCAGUAAUAUUAGAGAGUGUCUAAUGCAAAAUAUUCACAGAAAACAAUUUUAAAAGGAAAUAGGAGAACAACAAUUUUAAGUGACUUUCUCCAAGUUUAAGGAAUAGUUUCAAAGAAUAUCUGGACAUCCUGAUUAUAUUUUGGAACAGAAGUUAAUUGUUUUUAUGUGAACAGAUAUUUUACUAUUAUUUUGAAAAUGUUGCUAAAAGGAGUAUUAAAUAAGCAAAGAAAAGACCAUUAGCUUGAAUAUAUUGCUGUAUUUUUGAGUUCAUAGAUAACAAGCCAUAAUCUUAUUUACUACAUCAACCAACAUACACCUAAUUAGGAGUGUUUUUUUUUUUUUUUUGAAUAGCCAUGUUUCAGCCAAUCAUUGAUAAGUUCCAGUUAGUCAUAGGCUACCAACCAGCUAGAACAUGUCCAAUUAAUGGGAAUAUCAAGCUGUUUUCCAAUCAGAUAACUUUUCCAUUUUGCUUCCAUGUUCAGUCUGUAUACGCUUGCUGCUUACACCACUGAUGGAACUCUGAACCUCCUUGAAUUCUGAGAAGUGUCCAGUUCAUAAAUCACUCUUUACUCAAAUAAACUAUUAAAUUUAA